Molecule: non-coding RNA, 76 nt
Organism: Gymnothorax javanicus (giant moray)
Lineage: Eukaryota; Metazoa; Chordata; Actinopteri; Anguilliformes; Muraenidae
Source: the annotation of a GenBank genome assembly
GGGGCAGCACGGCUCAGGAGGUAGAGCGGUUGGUCUAAGAAUCAGACGGUUCCUGGUUCGAUCCCCGGCUUCUCCA